UUGUAGCAAUACAACUGGCGCACGGCGCACGGGUGCGUAACACGUGGGUAACCUGCCCUUUGGUGGGGAAUAACUCCGCGAAAGCGGAGCUAAUUCCGCAUAAGAUCCGCAAGGAUGAAAGCCGCAAGGCGCCGAAGGAGGGGCCCGCGCCCGAUUAGCUAGUUGGUAGGGUAACGGCCUACCAAGGCUUUGAUCGGUAGCUGGUCUGAGAGGAUGAUCAGCCACACUGGAACUGAGACACGGUCCAGACUCCUACGGGAGGCAGCAGUGGGGAAUCUUGCACAAUGGGCGAAAGCCUGAUGCAGCGACGCCGCGCGGGGGAUGAAGCAUUUCGGUGUGUAAACCCCUUUCGAUCCGGACGAAACCCCGCAAGGGAUUGACGGUACGGAUAUAAGAAGCCCCGGCUAACUACGUGCCAGCAGCCGCGGUAAGACGUAGGGGGCCAGCGUUGUUCGGAAUCACUGGGUGUAAAGGGUUCGUAGGCGGUGCGGCAAGUUGGGAGUGAAAUCUCUGGGCUUAACCCAGAGGCUGCUUCCAAAACUGCUGUGCUUGAGUGUGGGAGAGGCGCGUGGAAUUGCAGGUGUAGCGGUGAAAUGCGUAGAUAUCUGCAGGGACACCCGUGGCGAAAGCGGCGCGCUGGACCACUACUGACGCUGAGGAACGAAAGCUAGGGGAGCAAACAGGAUUAGAUACCCUGGUAGUCCUAGCCCUAAACGAUCAGGACUUGGGGUGCCACCCGUUCGGGUGUCGUCCCGGAGCUAACGCGUUAAGUCCUGCACCUGGGGAGUACGGUCCCAAGACUGAACUC
This 808-nucleotide ribosomal RNA is filed under the name uncultured Pseudomonadota bacterium. RNAcentral describes it as "bacterial SSU rRNA". It matches the Rfam family "Bacterial small subunit ribosomal RNA", at positions 74 to 902 of the family's 1533-position model. The record is from RNAcentral. Lineage: Bacteria; Pseudomonadati; Pseudomonadota.